This 253-nucleotide ribosomal RNA is filed under the name uncultured bacterium. Its description in RNAcentral is "partial 16S ribosomal RNA". It matches the Rfam family "Bacterial small subunit ribosomal RNA", at positions 524 to 776 of the family's 1533-position model. The record is from RNAcentral.
UACGUAGGUGGCAAGCGUUAUCCGGAAUUAUUGGGCGUAAAGCGCGCGUAGGCGGUUUCUUAAGUCUGAUGUGAAAGCCCGCGGCUCAACCGUGGAGGGUCAUUGGAAACUGGGAAACUUGAGUGCAGAAGAGGAAAGUGGAAUUCCAUGUGUAGCGGUGAAAUGCGCAGAGAUAUGGAGGAACACCAGUGGCGAAGGCGACUUUCUGGUCUGUAACUGACGCUGAUGUGCGAAAGCGUGGGGAUCAAACAGG